UACGGAAGGCAGCAGUGGGGAAUAUUGCACAAUGGGCGCAAGCCUGAUGCAGCCAUGCCGCGUGUAUGAAGAAGGCCUUCGGGUUGUAAAGUACUUUCAGCGGGGAGGAAGGCGAUGCGGUUAAUAACCGCGUCGAUUGACGUUACCCGCAGAAGAAGCACCGGCUAACUCCGUGCCAGCAGCCGCGGUAAUACGGAGGGUGCAAGCGUUAAUCGGAAUUACUGGGCGUAAAGCGCACGCAGGCGGUCUGUUUAAGUCAGAUGUGAAAUCCCCCGGGCUUAACCUGGGAACUGCAUUUUGAAACUGGCAGGCUUGAGUCUUGUAGAGGGGGUAGAAUUCCAGGUGUAGCGGUGAAAUGCGUAGAGAUCUGGAGGAAUACCGGUGGCGAAGGCGGCCCCUGGGACAAAGACUGACGCUCAGGGUGCGAAAGCGUGGGGAGCAAACAGGAUUAGGAUACC
RNAcentral lists this ribosomal RNA (458 nucleotides) under uncultured bacterium. Its description in RNAcentral is "bacterial SSU rRNA". It matches the Rfam family "Bacterial small subunit ribosomal RNA", at positions 340 to 786 of the family's 1533-position model. The record is from RNAcentral.